UCCCUCUUAGCUCAGUGGUAGAGCGCGUCACUAGUAGUAGUAACACCAUGAGUAUAUGACGAGGUCAGUCGUUCAAGUCGGCUAGAGGGAA
Molecule: non-coding RNA, 91 nt
Organism: Pholiota conissans
Lineage: Eukaryota; Fungi; Basidiomycota; Agaricomycetes; Agaricales; Strophariaceae
Source: the annotation of a GenBank genome assembly